This 694-nucleotide ribosomal RNA is filed under the name uncultured bacterium. Its description in RNAcentral is "bacterial SSU rRNA". It matches the Rfam family "Bacterial small subunit ribosomal RNA", at positions 32 to 715 of the family's 1533-position model. The record is from RNAcentral.
AACGCUAGCUACAGGCUUAACACAUGCAAGUCGAGGGGCAGCAUGGUCUUAGCUUGCUAAGGCCGAUGGCGACCGGCGCACGGGUGAGUAACACGUAUCCAACCUGCCGUCUACUCUUGGACAGCCUUCUGAAAGGAAGAUUAAUACAAGAUGGCAUCAUGAGUCCGCAUGUUCACAUGAUUAAAGGUAUUCCGGUAGACGAUGGGGAUGCGUUCCAUUAGAUAGUAGGCGGGGUAACGGCCCACCUAGUCUUCGAUGGAUAGGGGUUCUGAGAGGAAGGUCCCCCACAUUGGAACUGAGACACGGUCCAAACUCCUACGGGAGGCAGCAGUGAGGAAUAUUGGUCAAUGGGCGAGAGCCUGAACCAGCCAAGUAGCGUGAAGGAUGACUGCCCUAUGGGUUGUAAACUUCUUUUAUAAAGGAAUAAAGUCGGGUAUGGAUACCUGUUUGCAUGUACUUUAUGAAUAAGGAUCGGCUAACUCCGUGCCAGCAGCCGCGGUAAUACGGAGGAUCCGAGCGUUAUCCGGAUUUAUUGGGUUUAAAGGGAGCGUAGAUGGAUGUUUAAGUCAGUUGUGAAAGUUUGCGGCUCAACCGUAAAAUUGCAGUUGAUACUGGAUAUCUUGAGUGCAGUUGAGGCAGGCGGAAUUCGUGGUGUAGCGGUGAAAUGCUUAGAUAUCACGAAGAACUCCGAUUG